UACAAGUCACCACCACCUCCACCUUACAAGUACGAGUCACCUCCUCCACCUCCCUCAUACAAGUAUGAAUCACCUCCAUAUGUCUACAAAUCUCCACCACCACCUCCUUACGUCUAUAAGUCACCACCACCCCCACCUUACAAGUAUGAAUCACCUCCUUACAUCUACAAGUCACCACCACCUCCACCUUACAAGUAUGAGUCACCACCACCACCUCCUUACAUCUACAAAUCGCCACCGCCUCCACCUUAUGUCUACAAAUCUCCCCCACCCCCACCUUACAAAUAUGUCUCACCACCACCACCACC
RNAcentral lists this long non-coding RNA (308 nucleotides) under Olea europaea (common olive). Its description in RNAcentral is "long non-coding RNA (OEUR_LNC006518)". The record is from RNAcentral. Lineage: Eukaryota; Viridiplantae; Streptophyta; Magnoliopsida; Lamiales; Oleaceae.